CUUGGUCAUUUAGAGGAAGUAAAAGUCGUAACAAGGUUUCCGAAGGUGAACCUGCGGAAGGAUCAUUCAUAAUAAGUGUUUAUGGCACUUCUUAAAUCCAUAUCCACCUUGUGUGCAAUGUCAGCCGUUUUCUUUAUGAAAGCGGCCAAACAUCAACUUAUUUUUUAACUGUCUGUCUGAAAACUAUUAUGAAUAAACAAUUCAAAUACAACUUUCAACAACGGAUCUCUUGGCUCUCGCAUCGAUGAAGAACGCAGCGAAAUGCGAUACGUAAUGUGAAUUGCAGAAUUCAGUGAAUCAUCGAAUCUUUGAACGCAUAUUGCGCUCUUUGGUAUUCCGAAGAGCAUGCUUGUUUGAGUAUCAGUAAACACCUCAAAGCCUUCAAUUCAGUUUGAAAGCUUUGGACUUGAGCAAUCCCAACAUCAGUCUCGCGACUGACGGAGGGCUGCUUGAAAUGCAGGUGCAGCUGGACAUUCUCCUGAGCUAUAAGCAUAUUUAUUUAGUCCCGUCAAACGGAUUAUUACUUUUGCUGCAGCUAACAUAAAGGGAGUCUGACCGUAUUGGCUGACUGAUGCAGGAUUUCACAAGGGCUGGCAACAGCUUCUUGUAAAACUCGAUCUCAAAUCAAGUAAGACUACCCGCUGAACUUAAGCAUAUCAAUAAGCGGAGGAAAAGAAACUAACAAGGAUUCCCCUAGUAACGGCGAGUGAAGCGGGAUGAGCUCAAAUUUAAAAUCUGACUGGUUUACUAGUCCGAAUUGUAGUUUAUAGAAGCGUUUUCGGUGGCAGCCUGGGUAUAAAUCCUUUGGAAUAGGGUAUCAUAGAGGGUGAGAAUCCCGUCUUUGACUCAGUGCAUGCUACUAUGUGAUACGUUUUCAAAGAGUCGAGUUGUUUGGGAAU
This 899-nucleotide small RNA is filed under the name uncultured zygomycete. Its description in RNAcentral is "eukaryotic LSU rRNA". The stretch from base 615 to 899 matches the Rfam family "Eukaryotic large subunit ribosomal RNA", at positions 1 to 281 of the family's 3401-position model. The record is from RNAcentral. Lineage: Eukaryota; Fungi.